CCGCUGGUGUAUACUGCUGACAGGGCGCAAAGAAUUGAAAGUGUAAUACGUGUUUACUGGAAGUGGUGCUGCCCUGACUAUAGGCAGUCAGCACAGAGGUAAGUAUCAAAAGACCCCUCACCUAAGAUGGCGUUUUUUCACUUCCACCCGCAAAAUGAAGGACAGCACUACUCUAUGCAACUCAGGCAAGUUAAACAAUUUUACAGCAUAUAUACACAGUAACAAAAAAAGGUUUGAAGGUUUCCAACAACUAGACCCAUACAGCACACUGAAAAUGUGCACCUUUCCAGUGUGUUAGUGCCUCAAAAGUGGCAAAACCCAUUAACCCCUUUUCCUUCUUUCCAGAAACCUCUCUGCUGCAGGACAUUAAAUUACACGCAACAGGCUACAGGUUCCAUGCCCCAUCGGAAUGAGGUGUGAGGAAUGUAAAGCUCAGCAACUACACAAUUUACAGCGAGGACUACAUCAUGACUGCUUUCAUUUUUCAAGAGCACCGAUAACUGUGACCAUCAACAAGAGCUACUGUAACUGUACGAAAUGACUCAAAUGUGAAAUGCCUUCUACAAUCAGCUUCUGACCCGCAGGAAUAAUCUGCAGCUUCUUCCCCAGCAGCCUAACAUCGCUUAUCUUGCCAUAACGCAUAUAGAUUUUUUCUCUUAAAAGGCAGUGAUAGGCAUCAAAAGAGAAGUGAGACUCAUCUGAAGCCAUACCACCUUGCUUUACUACUGCAUUUAACAAGGUUUGCAGCUUCUGUAAAUAUUCUGAGGGUUUAUCUGCGCUAUCUUGAUGGGAAUUGAGAAACUUUGCAAAUAGUUUGUGUCCAUCUUCAACUGUCCCAAAGGCUGAAUCUAACAGAUAAAUAAGCUCAGACAGUAGUUGCCUGGGGGCAAAAAGCUCUCUAACAUAAGCCUCACUUUGUAUACAUUAACUACACUGGAGUCCUGAAUAGAAAGCUCCACGUAAGUGUGCCAUGUUUCAUAAUCAACUUCAUGUUGUGGAGUGGGAUGUCGGCCUGAAAAAGUCUGGAAGUAUGGAAGUGAGAGGCCACCUCUCUGCCUUUAACAAUGUGCUCCACCACAACCCUCUGAACUUCAGGGGGGUUGUAACUGUUUUCAUCUAGUUUUAACUGGGAACGAUGCUCAGCAAUAGUAGGGUUACAAUCUACUGCUGGUGAAGGAUCAGCUCCCUCAGAAUAAAUAUUCUUUGCCCCGCUAACUUGACACUUAUGGUUACAAGUUAGCAAGAGAUAUACCAGUCUUUUUUUCUCUCCCUGGUAAUUUGUAACCAUUGUAAAUGUUCCAACAUCAUCACUAGUAACCAAAGAGAGCACUUCGAAUUACACUUCAGGCAUGAAAAAAACUCACGUUUAAAUUUCCAGAGAGUAAUGUCUUCGGGAUGCAGAUAAAUAAUGAAUCAGUUUACUUUUAUGAAUUU
This is a long non-coding RNA of Acipenser ruthenus (sterlet), 1434 nucleotides long. RefSeq lists it as uncharacterized. The record is from RefSeq and is a predicted model, not a curated record. NCBI's taxonomy places the organism in Eukaryota, Metazoa, Chordata, Actinopteri, Acipenseriformes, Acipenseridae. The transcript has 3 exons.